Molecule: long non-coding RNA, 3484 nt
Organism: Arvicola amphibius (Eurasian water vole)
Lineage: Eukaryota; Metazoa; Chordata; Mammalia; Rodentia; Cricetidae
Exons: 3
Source: RefSeq, a predicted model, not a curated record
CAAAAGCAAUGGAAAAGAAAACUGGUUUAAAAGGAGAUGUAGAAGAAGUGCAUGGCAACCUCUUCUCUUAGCUCUCUCUCAGUCGCAAACCUUCCUCUUUCCUUUUCUUUGCCCUUCAGGCUCAGCCUCCGUGGAGGGGUUUCAUUUGCUAACGCAGGUUUACACUUUAAUAAAUUUCCUGCCUUUUACCUGCUGCCGGGCACAAGAAGAAAGCAUCUUUAUUCAAACUGCAGCCAGAGGGUAGAAACAAGGAGACAGGACGGUAUCUUUCAGGUCUGGGGAGUUUGAUCCCCCUGGAGCUAUCAACCGACAUGGAUACUGAGACCCUAACUGGGAUCCCUGCAGAAGCUCUAUCUCUCCAGCUCCAGGAUCAAUCAGUUCUUAAUGGGUCUGCCUCUUCAACUGAGUUCAACUUGGUUGCAUUUUCUGUGUUGAAGGAUUAGCUGAGUUGUAGGAGAUUUAGAAGUGUCUUGCUUCUUGUGUGUGUCUGUGCGUGCAUGCGUGUGUGUGUGUGCAUACAAAGUAACUCUCACACCACAGAGAAUUACUAAGCUAAAAAUCUCCCUGCAAUGGAAAGAGGGUAUGGUUUUCUUCUAGUUAGAUUUCAAAGAAAUUGUUCUGUCGUCUGGUCCCCAAGCUUAGGUGCCCCAUCUCUAUGUUGCAGAACAGAUCUGCCUGGAUCCAUUUCUCACUCAAGCGCUGCAAUGGCAGAGUGCCAAGUGCUCUCUUGGUAGUUGCAGGCACUCUGCGGCUUUGGGUCUUCUCUAUCGUUUACCUCUGAUACACUUUUGAAGUGCUCUUGUUCUGGCUCUACUCACUUUCCAAUUCUCCAGAAUUUCUUUCAGGAUAUGGACUAUCAGGAAAUGUCAGAUUAGAGAAUAAAACUCUGGGAAUAAAAAAAAAAAUAUAAAGUCUAAACUGUGCAGGACCAAAAAUGUGAAUGUUUGCCUCCAAUACCUUCUUUACCGGAAGUGGAUGUUGUGAGUACUGAAACACAGAUGAAUAUUCCAAGUAUUCUCUUAUGUUUUGAUUGGGGAAGAGUUAGACUGUAGCCAUGAACCACCAGACUCAGCAAAUCUGAAUUGAACUUAGAUAGAUUUAAUGUUAAGUAGGCUUAUGGGGUCUAGGGUGGUCUUCAAAUACAAGUGUAGACAGACUAAGAAACAUGGUAUUAAAGGAUAUGAUGUACUCCAUCACAUCAACUUCUAGAAAGAACUUUAAGUCAAUUCUAAACCAAGAUAAUCUAUCUGAGGUCAUGAAAGAGAAGACUAGAUUGAGCGUGAGAGAAAACAGGUAGGUGGGUAUGAGGCUAGGAAGGGAGGGGAGGGGGGACUAGGAAACAGUCAAUGUGUGUGAUGUGCCCAUAACUGUCAGGCUGAGGUGGUUGCUAUGAACUCUGUCCCUGAUAUCAAGGAACUGAGUAAGGCUCACCUUCUCUAACUUUACCAAGCAAGAAGGACUAUUUCCCCAGACCGUUUCCAAUUACCCCAAUCAAUCCUAGGCUCGGCAGUAAUGAUGUAUUUUGGGAUCUGACCUAUCAUAUGAUGCAAUGAUAAGUGUCCCUUAUACUUCCCUUUUCUUUUGUAUUAUUUAUGCGAUGAGAAAAAAAGGUUGAUUUCAAUUUGCUCAGUUUUAAUAACCCUAGAAGUCGAUUUAGCACACACAUCAUUUAAGAUCACCUAUUAAAAUAAGACACUAUGUAAUUAUGCAGAAUCAGUUAAUCAUAUACUCUCUAUUCUGAUUACCACUAUUACUUUAUAGGGCUAGUAUUCUUAUAAUGCUUGCGGAAUUUUUAAAGGUGAAUUAAGACUGGGCUCAUACCUCAGCAGGUAACAGCAGUUGCUGCACAAGUAUCAGAACCGGAGUUCAAAUCCCCAGAAUCUAUGUAAAAAGUCAGGUGUGGUUACAUAUGUGUCGGGGUGGGAAAACAUCUCUGGAUCUUGCUAACUGCCAGUCUUGAUCCAAGUCCAGUGAGAGACCUAUCUAUCUCAAGGGAAUAAGACAGAGGGUAAGGAAGAUGAACUCCCCAGUGUCCUCCUGUGUUCUCUGCAGACACAUCUGCACAUAUAUCUGUAGUUACACCACAUUCCAUAUGCUACGUGCACAUUUCUUAACUGCAUAACGUUCUCAGACAGUCUAAUGGUGUCAUCAUACAAUCUAUUAAAUAGUUUGUGACUACUUAACUUUAUAAAAAAUAUAUUUGGUAGUAUCCCAGGUUCAUAAGCAUUUAGACCCAAUCACCAUCAACAAAUACAGUGGAGCUUCUAGGUUUAGUAAAAGUUUAGUCUGAGCGAUCCCAUUAAGCUCUCACUUCUCCUUUCCAAAGAUCUGCACCUGUCGGGUGAUUUAGAAUCUUUUCAAAAAAAUAAUACAUUCUAUAAAAAACUUGAUUGUUAAAAAUUACAACCACUGAUGUUUUGGAAAAUCACAACCAAUGAAAUGUGUUGGAGAAAACCCUGAGGUUUCAGAAAAGAGGGAGAUUAGAACCAGUGCUGUAAUUCCAAUACAAGAUUCAUAUAUGAAAGGCAUCAGAUAUCCUUCCUCAUGAAUGAGGUAAAAAGUUCACUGUAAGUAGCAGAGGAAAGAUCUUCGCAAGUUGUAUAAAAAGAUGUCCAUUUGCUUAGAGGAGAUGGCGAAGUUCUACUUGGAGUAAUGUUUUUAUAAUCCUUCCUCAUUUUCAGAGACCAGUAUAAAAAUGUUCCUGAUCAUCUGAGGAACGUUAACUUCAGGCUGUCUUCCAUUCAGAAACAUGACCUCUAUGCCCCGUGAGAUCUUUAUGGCCAUGUGAGCGUAUGAAACACUGGAGCCCCUUCCCUGUUCCCACCCCUCACAUGGAGCUAAAUGCACUAGCUGGCUGAAUUCCCUCUUUCUGUCAAUGGAGCUACCAUUCCUGUAGCCAUCCACAUUUGAAAUUUUGGAGUUAGUUUUCAUCUGGUUGGCUUCCUACCCUUUACCUCAAUCAUUUACAAAUCUCUUCAACUCUCUUAUGUCUCUUUCCCAUGCCAGUCCAUCUUCUCUGCCAUGUUGCAGGAUCCUAAUUCAAACAUUUGUUAUCUGUGACACUCAGUGCAGUAUCCUAUUUCUGUCAAUUCUAUUUAUAUCAUUAAAAUAUAACAUAGAAAAUCUAUUUUUAUAUCUAUCAAAUGAACCUCAUGACCUCCACCUUGGCAUUCAUCUUCGGUAUCCUUUCAUUUGUCUUUAUCUCGGUGGCACAAGCUGGUGACAUGCUCAGCAUCUGAGGAGUCAGGAGAACGCAUUUUGGUUUGACUUCCUAUUGUACCCUCCCUAGAAAAUUCACUUUGUACUUUAGCAAAUAAGUAACUUGAUCUCUUGGUUUAAAAAUCUGAUUCAUCCAUGACCAGAUGAAGGCUCUAUGGUAAUAUGCAAGAUAUUCAUCAGUGUGACUAUAGGACAAGACCAGUUCAGGCACCCUCUCCUCUGCUGCUCAAGGAACAAUCUGGGGACAUCUCCUUGGACAGCUGGG